UAUGGAGCUCCGCCCACUUGUCUGCAGUAGCUUUUGAAAUGUGAGAAGGUGGGAUAGAAGACUCAUUAAAAGGCCAGAGACACCAGCCAUUAGGUGGCUCUGCAUUCAUUACUGUUGACCAUUAACAGCAUUGUGUCAUAACGUCCUCGUCCAACCCACCAUCCUCCCCAUCUUUGCCUCUCCCAUGUUAUUUGGCUCCAUUCAAGCCUGCGUCUUCAUCUCCACCACCAACGCCUGGACUCCACGGGGUCCUGUCCUAAUCUCUAUCACUGCUGGACCUUCAGGUCAAGGUCACCAGUUUUCUUCCUGAUUCAUGCUUUGACUUGACCAAGAGUAACCCAGCAAAAUCAAGAAAUCUCCAAAAGGUUCAUCGCAUUCGGUAAAGAUUUUGGUGCUGUCUUCAUGAUCUGAUGAAAUGCAGCUAACCUGCAGUCCACCCAGCAAAGGCAGGAAAAACCUCUCUGGUGAAACCUGCCACCGCCCUCAUCGGACUGCCAGCCUGAAGGCAUUUCUCACCACCUGUCAGGUAAGGAUUAAACAAAGCAGAACUAUCGACACCUGAGGCUCUCUAACGCUCGCUAACAAUUCACCUUCUUACACAAAACCCCAAGAAAAACAGACAAGUGUGGAUCUAGUUAGCAGUGAGCAUCGUGCACUUUUUUUAAAAAUCAUUAAUUCUUGGUGAACUUCAUUAAAUCCAGACAGCAGAGAUAAUUAAAUGGGUACUUGUCUAGUUGGUGUUUGUGCCCCUGAUUAAUAUUAUAUAUUCUUAAAUUUAAUCUUCUCAGUGGGACUUGAUUGAUCACAGAUUGUCAAAGGAUUGACAGUAGGAUGAUGUGAAGGUGAUCUGAGUGAUACUUGUUUGUUAACUUUGUCCCAGAUGAAGUUUAUUUCAUCACGUCAGUCUAACUACUUUGUGUAGAAACAUUUUGUCAGCGGCUAAUUACGACUUCCUCUUUGCUGUGUAGUUUUAAUUAUGUCUGGCAUAUGUUGUUGAAAUUGGCAAAGGUGAAAUGACAUUUUAAUGACUUUUGUUCAAAUGUUGCUGCAGUUCGGUGCUUUUAGAAAGGUUACGUGACUCGACUCAAAGGUUUGUGCUGCUUAGAAGCCCAAAAGGAAAGCAGAUAAGGAAAACAGAAAUUCUGACUCUGUUAUCACAUAACAGAGCCUCUUCUUACUAAAGGGUGACCUGACUACUUUUGUACAUCAUAUCUACAUUAGUAGAGACAAACUUCUUUUUUUUUUUUUUGUAUAGAACAGUCAAAGUAUAUUUUCUUCACUUCCUUCCAGGUAACUUUUAACCUUAAACCUUAUUGAUGGACCCACUCGAUACAGACUCUGAACAAUAUUGAGCUGCAGAGCAUUAUAAAGUCACAAAAGUUUGUCUUGAAUCUUCCUAAUAGUUCAAGAAAUCUGUCAAUUGGUCUUUUUUUUUUUUUUUUGUCUGUUUGUUUCAGACUUAGCCAGUGUAUUGCUCGGUGCAGGAGUAAGUGUAGUGCUCAGUCAAAGUGUUUCCCGUGACUGCUGGGCACUACCUGCUCAAUGCUGGGUGUGGGGGAAAGGAUGCACAGUCUUUGUAAGGAUCAUAACUGACAUUAUUUGUAUUUCAGUGCUACAGCUGUACUCUACUGAAACCCAAUUCAGAUGCUAAAAUAAAGUUGUAACCAUGUAACAGAUCUGGGAGGGAAACAAAUGUGGAUUGAAAAAAUAUGUGAGGGCUGGACAAAACGCUCUGCAAUUUGUGUGGUUUGAAAACAAGAUUCUUAAUUUGUCCAACAAAUUAUGGAAUAACAAAGACAUAGUUUUUGUAUUUUUGUCUCAACACAACACCAUGCUGGACUUUAAAUCAGUCAUCAUGGCUGUGAAAAGCAGACUCAGCUUUAAUUCGAGGGGUUUAAUAAAAAUUUUGCAGAAAGCCUUUAGGAAUAACAACCAUUUUCAUACACAAUCUCCCACUUUUUUUUUUUUUUGAGUCUGAAAAUUAAUUGGACAGUUGAUAUCAAGCAGUUUCAUGGUCAGGUGGCCCUGUUCCCUUAUUUCAUGAUGACAAAAAAAAUACAAAAGUUCAAAUUACAAAAAAGAGUUUUGUUCUUAUGAAAACUCUAACUCUUGUGACUCUUCUUUAAACACUAACCACAAAAAAAAAACACAGAUCAUACUCCCUGCACAAGUGAUACUGUAAAAGGUACCAAAAAAACAUUUUCUAUCCAUCUCCUUACUGGUGAUCCAGAUUAGGCACCAGCCCAUGCAUCCACCUAACAUAAAGUGAGAGGUAAGCUACACUUUGGACAGCUCGCCAGGCCAUCACAGGGCAAGAAAGCUCACAUCAACCUAUGUCCAAUUUUGAAUGGCCAAUUAACCAAAUGAGUCUGUCUUUGAAAUGUGGGAGGAAACCAGAGUAGCUUGAGGAAACUCCCACAGGCACAGGGACAACAUGUAAUCUCCAGAAAGACUCCAGACAGGUUUGAACCCAGGACUUUUUGCUAUGAAGAGGCCAUACUAACCUGCCUACCAUGCUGUCUCCAAUAGUGAACUUUGGGUUAUGUAUUUAUUCUGUGUGAAUAAAACACUUGUACCAUUUGUCCCAUGAUGGACUGUCAGCCUGUUGAGUUUAUACCCUGCCAUUUGCCCAGUGUUAGCCGGGAUUGGUUUCAGCCCUUCUUAGCGCGAGUUAAAUACUUAAGAAAAAACAAUGAUUUUGUUGCUUCACUGAAGAGCUGAAUUAUAAAAGAAAAACACAAAAAACAUCUAGAUAAUACAAGAUUGGGUGGAAUGAGCCACUAUUUUCCACAGUUAAAUCUACUUAUAGCAAAAUGUAAGAAAUUAAAAUUGAUUUCAAAAGAAACCCCGACUACGAGAAAUAUAAUCCAUAGAAAUGCACACAACAUCACCACAAAUGGUUCAAGAUGUGAAUAUUUGAGUAGCCUUGUAAGGACGUGUGGCAGAGCAAAGAGUGGACCCUAAUAGGAAAUGGCGGUUAUGGAACAAAAGAGUAAAUGUAAUGUGUUCUACUAAUGGUUAAAAACCUCGAAAUGAAAGCAAGUAGCUGGCUGUUCGGGCGGUAAAUGCACAUUUACAGCAUGUGUUAUGGUAUUGAGACAUAAGAAGGAUCCAUAAUGUUCAUAUCUUUUUAUUCACAAAUGUAAACUAAAUGACGAGUUAGUCAGAAUGAAUGCUACAAAAAAAAGAACUUUAAGGAAGGCCUUUAAAUUUAACCCAGGUCACUCGUUGUCAAAGAUGUGAUGGAGAAACUGUCCUUAUUUGAGGCCUGGAAAAUUCAAUGAACUUUUCUUUGCAUCACUGGUAUUUGAUAGAAAUAUGUAAAUUCAGAAAGUGUGUGUUCAGAGUUUACAGGUUUUCUCAAUCACUUUGGUGCAGUUCUCACAUCAGGUAUAUCAUUCCCAUCACUCUUAAUGCAGUUCUCAAAACAGUUGAGGCAUUUUUAUACUCCAGACUCACCUGUGCAAAAGACACUGUAACAAUCAAACUUUUUUGAUGAGUGUUAAAACAUGAAUAGUCAAUCAUUUCAACUCUCUGAUAAAUGAUUAAAAACA
This is a long non-coding RNA of Oreochromis niloticus (Nile tilapia), 3554 nucleotides long. RefSeq lists it as uncharacterized. The transcript has 5 exons. NCBI's taxonomy places the organism in Eukaryota, Metazoa, Chordata, Actinopteri, Cichliformes, Cichlidae. The record is from RefSeq and is a predicted model, not a curated record.